GACGAACGCUGGCGGCGUGCUUAACACAUGCAAGUCGAACGGAAAGGCCCUGCUUUUGUGGGGUGCUCGAGUGGCGAACGGGUGAGUAACACGUGAGUAACCUGCCCUUGACUUUGGGAUAACUUCAGGAAACUGGGGCUAAUACCGGAUAGGAGCUCCUGCUGCAUGGUGGGGGUUGGAAAGUUUCGGCGGUUGGGGAUGGACUCGCGGCUUAUCAGCUUGUUGGUGGGGUAGUGGCUUACCAAGGCUUUGACGGGUAGCCGGCCUGAGAGGGUGACCGGCCACAUUGGGACGGGGAUACGGCCCAGACUCCUACGGGAGGCAGCAGUGGGGAAUAUUGCACAAUGGGCGGAAGCCUGAUGCAGCAACGCCGCGUGCGGGAUGACGGCCUUCGGGUUGGAAACCGCUUUCGCCUGUGACGAAGCGUGAGUGACGGUAAUGGGUAAGAAGCACCGGCUAACUACGUG
Molecule: ribosomal RNA, 467 nt
Filed under: uncultured bacterium
Lineage: Bacteria
Description: partial 16S ribosomal RNA
Rfam family: Bacterial small subunit ribosomal RNA
Source: RNAcentral